This 2060-nucleotide ribosomal RNA is filed under the name Escherichia coli. Its description in RNAcentral is "partial 23S ribosomal RNA". It matches the Rfam family "Bacterial large subunit ribosomal RNA", at positions 144 to 2228 of the family's 2925-position model. The record is from RNAcentral. Lineage: Bacteria; Pseudomonadati; Pseudomonadota; Gammaproteobacteria; Enterobacterales; Enterobacteriaceae.
CACACUAUCAUUAACUGAAUCCAUAGGUUAAUGAGGCGAACCGGGGGAACUGAAACAUCUAAGUACCCCGAGGAAAAGAAAUCAACCGAGAUUCCCCCAGUAGCGGCGAGCGAACGGGGAGCAGCCCAGAGCCUGAAUCAGUGUGUGUGUUAGUGGAAGCGUCUGGAAAGGCGCGCGAUACAGGGUGACAGCCCCGUACACAAAAAUGCACAUGCUGUGAGCUCGAUGAGUAGGGCGGGACACGUGGUAUCCUGUCUGAAUAUGGGGGGACCAUCCUCCAAGGCUAAAUACUCCUGACUGACCGAUAGUGAACCAGUACCGUGAGGGAAAGGCGAAAAGAACCCCGGCGAGGGGAGUGAAAAAGAACCUGAAACCGUGUACGUACAAGCAGUGGGAGCACGCUUAGGCGUGUGACUGCGUACCUUUUGUAUAAUGGGUCAGCGACUUAUAUUCUGUAGCAAGGUUAACCGAAUAGGGGAGCCGAAGGGAAACCGAGUCUUAACUGGGCGUUAAGUUGCAGGGUAUAGACCCGAAACCCGGUGAUCUAGCCAUGGGCAGGUUGAAGGUUGGGUAACACUAACUGGAGGACCGAACCGACUAAUGUUGAAAAAUUAGCGGAUGACUUGUGGCUGGGGGUGAAAGGCCAAUCAAACCGGGAGAUAGCUGGUUCUCCCCGAAAGCUAUUUAGGUAGCGCCUCGUGAAUUCAUCUCCGGGGGUAGAGCACUGUUUCGGCAAGGGGGUCAUCCCGACUUACCAACCCGAUGCAAACUGCGAAUACCGGAGAAUGUUAUCACGGGAGACACACGGCGGGUGCUAACGUCCGUCGUGAAGAGGGAAACAACCCAGACCGCCAGCUAAGGUCCCAAAGUCAUGGUUAAGUGGGAAACGAUGUGGGAAGGCCCAGACAGCCAGGAUGUUGGCUUAGAAGCAGCCAUCAUUUAAAGAAAGCGUAAUAGCUCACUGGUCGAGUCGGCCUGCGCGGAAGAUGUAACGGGGCUAAACCAUGCACCGAAGCUGCGGCAGCGACGCUUAUGCGUUGUUGGGUAGGGGAGCGUUCUGUAAGCCUGUGAAGGUGUACUGUGAGGUAUGCUGGAGGUAUCAGAAGUGCGAAUGCUGACAUAAGUAACGAUAAAGCGGGUGAAAAGCCCGCUCGCCGGAAGACCAAGGGUUCCUGUCCAACGUUAAUCGGGGCAGGGUGAGUCGACCCCUAAGGCGAGGCCGAAAGGCGUAGUCGAUGGGAAACAGGUUAAUAUUCCUGUACUUGGUGUUACUGCGAAGGGGGGACGGAGAAGGCUAUGUUGGCCGGGCGACGGUUGUCCCGGUUUAAGCGUGUAGGCUGGUUUUCCAGGCAAAUCCGGAAAAUCAAGGCUGAGGCGUGAUGACGAGGCACUACGGUGCUGAAGCAACAAAUGCCCUGCUUCCAGGAAAAGCCUCUAAGCAUCAGGUAACAUCAAAUCGUACCCCAAACCGACACAGGUGGUCAGGUAGAGAAUACCAAGGCGCUUGAGAGAACUCGGGUGAAGGAACUAGGCAAAAUGGUGCCGUAACUUCGGGAGAAGGCACGCUGAUAUGUAGGUGAAGUCCCUCGCGGAUGGAGCUGAAAUCAGUCGAAGAUACCAGCUGGCUGCAACUGUUUAUUAAAAACACAGCACUGUGCAAACACGAAAGUGGACGUAUACGGUGUGACGCCUGCCCGGUGCCGGAAGGUUAAUUGAUGGGGUCAGCGCAAGCGAAGCUCUUGAUCGAAGCCCCGGUAAACGGCGGCCGUAACUAUAACGGUCCUAAGGUAGCGAAAUUCCUUGUCGGGUAAGUUCCGACCUGCACGAAUGGCGUAAUGAUGGCCAGGCUGUCUCCACCCGAGACUCAGUGAAAUUGAACUCGCUGUGAAGAUGCAGUGUACCCGCGGCAAGACGGAAAGACCCCGUGAACCUUUACUAUAGCUUGACACUGAACAUUGAGCCUUGAUGUGUAGGAUAGGUGGGAGGCUUUGAAGUGUGGACGCCAGUCUGCAUGGAGCCGACCUUGAAAUACCACCCUUUAAUGUUUGAUGUUCUAACGU